RNAcentral lists this non-coding RNA (469 nucleotides) under Pan troglodytes (chimpanzee). The record is from RNAcentral. Lineage: Eukaryota; Metazoa; Chordata; Mammalia; Primates; Hominidae.
CUUUUUAUCUAGACUAUGUCUUUAAAGUGGUGGAAAUGACCAAUUCUGUGUCUUAGGAGGGAGGUGGCAUGAAGCCGGGAAAUGACUGAGGAAGGGAUACUGAUAUGAAAUGAUUUAUUUCUGGAAAAUGCUCUUGUCCCUGGUUCCCUUCACGCCCCCACCCCCAGCCUCAGCUCUGUCUGGGUGGAACGAAUGUCUGCUAAUGAACUAAACAAACAGGUCUCUUAAUCUUAUCAUGGAGCUGACCCAGAGACUGGCACAGAUAUCCAAAGUAUCAUAAUUGGCAGGUCAGAAUUAAAACUACAUACAUCAUGGUGACUUUAUAGCUGAGGCAAAGUGGAGCUCAAGUGUUACUUUCCCAGUAAGCAAAUCAUAAUGAAGUAUCAUGCUGGUGACUAAUUUAACUAACAUUGUCCAGGAAACUGCUGUUGUCCAGGAAGAGAAGAGUUGAGCUGAGUGUCAACUACUG